UACGUAGGGUGCAAGCGUUAAUCGGAAUUACUGGGCGUAAAGCGUGCGCAGGCGGUUUGUUAAGACAGAUGUGAAAUCCCCGGGCUUAACCUGGGAACUGCAUUUGUGACUGGCAAGCUAGAGUAUGGCAGAGGGGGGUAGAAUUCCACGGUGUAGCAGUGAAAUGCGUAGAGAUGUGGAGGAAUACCGAUGGCGAAGGCAGCCCCCUGGGCCAAUACUGACGCUCAUGCACGAAAGCGUGGG
RNAcentral lists this ribosomal RNA (243 nucleotides) under uncultured bacterium. Its description in RNAcentral is "partial 16S ribosomal RNA". It matches the Rfam family "Bacterial small subunit ribosomal RNA", at positions 524 to 765 of the family's 1533-position model. The record is from RNAcentral.